UUACCAUAAAAUUCAGCUCCAAUGGCCCUUUCCCAGCUUCAAUCCCUACAGACAAGCUGUGGUGCUAACCUGAAAUAUAAAAUGCUUAGUCAAUCAAAAUUGUUUUAAAGGAUCACUUCUGGAAUACCGUAUCUACUUUAUAUAAAAUGGGUUAUAUACAUGUGACAGGUUUUGAGAACAUUGAUAAGACAUCAAUCCAACAACCCAAUUCAAUCCUUAAAAGCGGUAGGUUUAAAAGGGCUAAAGUUGGCCAUAAGAUUUUAAUCUUUUUUAAUUCAGGUCCAAAUGCUACAUAUAAAUUGUUGUGGUAUCAUUUUUGAUACAAAAUAACCACUUCUUUUUUUUGGCAUUUAACAAUAUAAACUACAAAGUUAUGACCUCUUGAUUAUGCAAUUCUGGUGUUUUCGCAAAAGCGCCAAUUAAGGUCCAAUUUUUCACAAUUUAGAACAGUUUUCAGCAUAAUUCACUUUCCCUGAUCCAGUAAUAGUGUAUGUCUUGUAAUUUAAAUAUUACCCUUGGCACCUAUAGGUUACUUAACAUUUUGGAUCAAAGGUAUUCUUUAAGCUUUUAGGUAAGAACAUCGCAUUUUGAUAAUAUCUCCCAAUUUAGCUAAUUAUGGAGUCUACAGUGUAUUAUAAAGAAGCUUUUUCUUUUAUGUCGCCAUAAGUCUCUUGAUAUAUCCAUUUAAGAACCAGAUUGGGGCCUUUUUGGAAUUCUAUGAUGAAAGUUGAAAUUUAAAAUCUAUAAUAAGGCCAUAUUUUGCCAAGUGAACAUUGUCAUAUGGUACUGAUAAAAUAAAAGAG
Molecule: long non-coding RNA, 803 nt
Filed under: Mytilus galloprovincialis (Mediterranean mussel)
Lineage: Eukaryota; Metazoa; Mollusca; Bivalvia; Mytilida; Mytilidae
Source: RNAcentral